GAGCCCGUGGUCUAGCGGUUAUGACGGCUCGUUGACGUCGAGCAAGUCGCCAGUUCGAACCUGGCCGGGCUCA
Molecule: transfer RNA, 73 nt
Filed under: Candidatus Woesearchaeota archaeon
Lineage: Archaea; Nanobdellati; Candidatus Woesearchaeota
Also listed under: 1 other name
Description: tRNA-Val
Rfam family: tRNA
About the family: Transfer RNA (tRNA) molecules are approximately 80 nucleotides in length. Their secondary structure includes four short double-helical elements and three loops (D, anti-codon, and T loops).
Source: RNAcentral